This 81-nucleotide transfer RNA is filed under the name Caudoviricetes sp. RNAcentral's name for it is "tRNA-OTHER". The record is from RNAcentral. Lineage: Duplodnaviria; Heunggongvirae; Uroviricota; Caudoviricetes.
CAGAUAUAGCUGAACAUUUUGCGAAUAACACACUGCCUUUUAAGCAGGGUGUCCGGGGUUCGAAUCCCCGCUGGAUCACCA